RNAcentral lists this ribosomal RNA (345 nucleotides) under uncultured bacterium. RNAcentral describes it as "bacterial SSU rRNA". It matches the Rfam family "Bacterial small subunit ribosomal RNA", at positions 8 to 353 of the family's 1533-position model. The record is from RNAcentral.
AGAGUUUGAUCAUGGCUCAGGAUGAACGCUGGCGGCGUGCCUAAUACAUGCAAGUCGAACGCUUCGACUUCGGUGAAGAGUGGCGAACGGGUUGAGUAAUACAUAAGUAACCUGGCAUCUACAGGGGGAUAACUGAUGGAAACGUCAGCUAAGACCGCAUAGGUGUAGAGAUCGCAUGAACUCUAUAUGAAAAGUGCUACGGGACUGGUAGAUGAUGGACUUAUGGGCGCAUUAGCUUGUUGGUAGGGUAACGGCCUACCAAGGCGACGAUGCGUAGCCGACCUGAGAGGGUGACCGGCCACCACUGGGACUGAGACACGGCCCAGACUCCUACGGGAGGCAGCA